GGAAAGCAGCAGCCGCUUGGAUCGCCGGCCGGGCCGAGCCGAGCCACCAUGGGGAAAAUCGCGCUGCAGCUCAAAGCCACGCUGGAGAAUGUCACCAACCUCCGGCCAGUGGGCGAGGACUUCCGGUGGUACCUGAAGGUAAGGCUGGAGGGGCAGGGCGCUAGACAUCUAGGCUGUAGGCGCUUGGAGGUGCUGAGUGGGAGCUCCAAGGGCCAGCCCGGAUUCAGGUUUCCCGACCUGAGCCCAGCAGUGAACAGUUUUUCUCUCUGGCAAGAAGGGAAAUGUUUAACAAAUGUUCUCGUGUCUUGGUAGAAUUUUACGGUUUUUUAAAAAAAAAUUUAUUGGUUAAUUCCUAAUUGGCAGUGGCCUGGAAUUCCUUUUGUAACUUUUCCAUAAAUGUUAAGUAUUUAAUGUUUUAUGGUAUGUAAACAAACACUAAACGAAAGUACUUGAAAGGAUCUAGGGAUUAUUUAGCAAGAAUAAUUUUAUCUGUUGAUUAAGCUUUAUUGUGAAGUCCAUUAAUUUUUUUAAAAAAAUGUAUUACAGUUGAUUUACAGUGUUCUGUCAACUUCGGCUGUACAGCAAAUGAUGCAGCUAUACACAUAUAUACGUUAUUUUUCUCACACUAUUCUCCAUUGUGUUCCAUCACAGGUGAUGAGAUAUAGUUCCUUGUGCUGUACAUCAGGAUCUCAUUGCUUAUCCAUUCCAAAUGCAAUAGUUUGUAUCUACUAACCCCCAACUCCUAGGCCAUCCUGCUCCCUCCCCCUCAGCCACCAGAAGUCUCUUCUCCAUGUCCAUGAGUUUGUUUCUUUUCUGUACAUUGGUUCGUUUGUGCCGUAUAUUAGAUUCCAGAUAUAAGUGAUACCAUAUGGUAUUUGUCUUUCUUUUUCUGACUUUAUUAGUAUGAGUCUCCAGUUCCAUCCAUGUUGCUGCAAAUGGCAUUUUUGUUUUUUUAUGGCUGAGUCGUAGUCCACUGUGUAUAUAUACCACAUCUUCUUAAUCCAGUCUUCUGUCACUGGACAUUUAGAUUUUUUCCAUGUCUUGGCUAUUGUGAAUAAUGUUCAUUGAACAUUGCGGUGCGUGUAUCUUUUUCAGUGAAAGUUUUGUCUGGAUGUGUGCCCAGGAGUGGGAUUGCUGGAUCAUGUAGUAGUUCUAUAUUUAGUUUUCUGAGGCACCUCCAUACUGUUUUCCAGAGUGGUUGUACCAGUUUACACUCCCAUCAGCAGGGCAGGAGGGUUCCCUUUUCUUCACAUUCUCUCAGGCAUUUCUUAUUUAUAGACUUAAUAAUAUGGCCAUUGUGACCUGUGUGAAGUGGUAACUUACGGUAGUAUUGAUUUGCAUUUCUCUAGUAAUUAGAGGUGUUGAACCAUCUGUGUGUCUUCUUUGGAGAAAUGUCUAUUGAGGUCUUCUGCCCACUUGUCAAUUGGGUUGUUUGUUUUUUUGUUGUUGAGUUGUAUGAGUUGCUUGUAUAAUUUGGAGAUUAAGUCCUUGUCGGUUGCAUCGUUUGAAACUAUUUUCUCCCAUUCCGUAGGUUGUGGGUGUUUUUAUGGUUUCCUUUGCUUUGCAAAAGCUUGUAAGUUCAGUUAGGUCUCAUUGCUUUAUUUUUGUUUUUAUUUCUAUUGCUUUGAGAGACUGACCAAAGAAAACAUUUGUAUGGUUGAUGUCAGAGAAUGUUUUGCCUAUGCUCUCUUUUAGGAGUUUGAUGGUGUCUUGUCUUACGUUUAAGUCUUUAAGCCAUUCUGAAUUUAUUUUUGUGCAUGGUGUGAGGGUGUGUUCCAGUUUCAAUGAUUUACAUGCAGCUGUCCAGUUUUCCCAGCACUGCUGAAAAGACUCUUUUUCCCAUUUUUUAUUCUUGCCUCUUUUGUUGAAGAUUAAUUGACUAUAGGUGUAUAGGUUUAUUUCUGGGUUCUCUAUUCUGUUCCAUUGGGCUAU
This 1932-nucleotide long non-coding RNA is filed under the name Sus scrofa (pig). RNAcentral's name for it is "lncRNA (ENSSSCG00050024702.1)". Lineage: Eukaryota; Metazoa; Chordata; Mammalia; Artiodactyla; Suidae. The record is from RNAcentral.